UGCCCUGCUUCCAGGAAAAGCCUCUAAGCAUCAGGUAACAUCAAAUCGUACCCCAAACCGACACAGGUGGUCAGGUAGAGAAUACCAAGGCGCUUGAGAGAACUCGGGUGAAGGAACUAGGCAAAAUGGUGCCGUAACUUCGGGAGAAGGCACGCUGACACGUAGGUGAAGUGAUUUACUCAUGGAGCUGAAGUCAGUCGAAGAUACCAGCUGGCUGCAACUGUUUAUUAAAAACACAGCACUGUGCAAACACGAAAGUGGACGUAUACGGUGUGACGCCUGCCCGGUGCCGGAAGGUUAAUUGAUGGGGUCAGCGCAAGCGAAGCUCCUGAUCGAAGCCCCGGUAAACGGCGGCCGUAACUAUAACGGUCCUAAGGUAGCGAAAUUCCUUGUCGGGUAAGUUCCGACCUGCACGAAUGGCGUAAUGAUGGCCAGGCUGUCUCCACCCGAGACUCAGUGAAAUUGAACUCGCUGUGAAGAUGCAGUGUACCCGCGGCAAGACGGAAAGACCCCGUGAACCUUUACUAUAGCUUGACACUGAACAUUGAGCCUUGAUGUGUAGGAUAGGUGGGAGGCUUUGAAGUGUGGACGCCAGUCUGCAUGGAGCCGACCUUGAAAUACCACCCUUUAAUGUUUGAUGUUCUAACGUGGACCCGUGAUCCGGGUUGCGGACAGUGUCUGGUGGGUAGUUUGACUGGGGCGGUCUCCUCCUAAAGAGUAACGGAGGAGCACGAAGGUUGGCUAAUCCUGGUCGGACAUCAGGAGGUUAGUGCAAUGGCAUAAGCCAGCUUGACUGCGAGCGUGACGGCGCGAGCAGGUGCGAAAGCAGGUCAUAGUGAUCCGGUGGUUCUGAAUGGAAGGGCCAUCGCUCAACGGAUAAAAGGUACUCCGGGGAUAACAGGCUGAUACCGCCCAAGAGUUCAUAUCGACGGCGGUGUUUGGCACCUCGAUGUCGGCUCAUCACAUCCUGGGGCUGAAGUAGGUCCCAAGGGUAUGGCUGUUCGCCAUUUAAAGUGGUACGCGAGCUGGGUUUAGAACGUCGUGAGACAGUUCGGUCCCUAUCUGCCGUGGGCGCUGGAGAACUGAGGGGGGCUGCUCCUAGUACGAGAGGACCGGAGUGGACGCAUCACUGGUGUUCGGGUUGUCAUGCCAAUGGCACUGCCCGGUAGCUAAAUGCGGAAGAGAUAAGUGCUGAAAGCAUCUAAGCACGAAACUUGCCCCGAGAUGAGUUCUCCCUGAGACUUUAGGUCUCCUGAAGGAACGUUGAAGACGACGACGUUGAUAGGCCGGGUGUGUAAGCGCAGCGAUGCGUUGAGCUAACCGGUACUAAUGAACCGUGAGGCUUAACCUUACAACGCCGAAG
This 1363-nucleotide ribosomal RNA is filed under the name Salmonella enterica. RNAcentral's name for it is "bacterial LSU rRNA". It matches the Rfam family "Bacterial large subunit ribosomal RNA", at positions 1598 to 2925 of the family's 2925-position model. Lineage: Bacteria; Pseudomonadati; Pseudomonadota; Gammaproteobacteria; Enterobacterales; Enterobacteriaceae. The record is from RNAcentral.